Long non-coding RNA from Serinus canaria (Common canary), 705 nucleotides. RefSeq lists it as uncharacterized. The transcript has 3 exons. NCBI's taxonomy places the organism in Eukaryota, Metazoa, Chordata, Aves, Passeriformes, Fringillidae. The record is from RefSeq and is a predicted model, not a curated record.
GGGAAAUAAAACUCACCAACCCUAGUUGAUGGUGUCAGUUUGCAGGAGGUACUUGGCACUCUCAAACCAGCCCAAGUUGGCACUGGUGCCAGCUUGGUCCUGGGAGGCAUCCUGCGAUAUGCGGAAUUUUAAAAGCCAGAAGGCUGCUCUGAGCCACAGCCCCUAGAACACAAAAACCGCCCCUUUUCCCUGGGAAAUAAAACUCACCAACCCUAGUUGAUGGUGUCAGUUUGCAGGAGGUACUUGGCACUCUCAAACCAGCCCAAGUUGGCACUGGUGCCAGCUUGGUCCUGGGAGGCAUCCUGCGAUAUGCGGAAUUUUAAAAGCCAGAAGGCUGCUCUGAGCCACCGGCCCUGCAACACCAACGCUGCCCCUUUUCCCAGUUUGCAGGAGGUACUUGGCACUCUCAAACCAGCCCAAGUUGGCACUGGUGCCAGCUUGGUUCUGGGAGGCAUCCUGCGAUAUGCGGAAUUUUAGGAGCCAGAAGGCUGCUCUGAGCCACCGGCCCUGCAACACCAACGCUGCCCCUUUUCCCAGUUUGCAGGAGGUACUUGGCACUCUCAAACCAGCCCAAGUUGGCACUGGUGCCAGCUUGGUCCUGGGAGGCAUCCUGCGAUAUGCGGAAUUUUAGGAGCCAGAAGGCUGCUCUGAGCCACAGCCCCUAGAACACAAAAACCGCCCCUUUUCCCUGGGAAAUAAAACUCA